This is a long non-coding RNA of Onychostoma macrolepis, 301 nucleotides long. RefSeq lists it as uncharacterized. The record is from RefSeq and is a predicted model, not a curated record. The transcript is spliced from 3 exons. Lineage: Eukaryota; Metazoa; Chordata; Actinopteri; Cypriniformes; Cyprinidae.
AUUCUGAGGAGGAGGAGUUCUUCAUCUGUGAUUAAUUCCCAUAUCCUGAGCAUUGCACAGAAUCAUGAACAAAGGUUUCGAUUCUUCAGCAGUUCGUGUUGCUAACCUGCUCUUCCGGACACCUGAAUUCUGCUGCAUCAAUCACAGGACUGGGCACCUCAGCGCAUGUGUUCCCUGGCAGUCGAUCCCAUGACCUUGGUGUUGCUCUAUGCUCUGCAGUCUGCAAGCUGCAGGUUAUGUACAAUAUAACAUAUCUUGGCCUUCAAUCAGCUGUUCUGGGUUAUGGCAAUCUCACCUCCUG